UACGUAGGGUGCGAGCGUUGUCCGGAUUUAUUGGGCGUAAAGAGCUCGUAGGCGGCUCGUCGCGUCGACCGUGAAAACCCGCAGCUCAACUGUGGGCUUGCAGCUGAUACGGGCGGGCUGGAGUUCGGUAGGGGAGACUGGAAUUCCUGGUGUAGCGGUGAAAUGCGCAGAUAUCAGGAGGAACACCGGUGGCGAAGGCGGGUCUCUGGGCCGAUACUGACGCUGAGGAGCGAAAGCGUGGGGAGCGAACAGG
This 253-nucleotide ribosomal RNA is filed under the name uncultured bacterium. RNAcentral describes it as "partial 16S ribosomal RNA". It matches the Rfam family "Bacterial small subunit ribosomal RNA", at positions 524 to 776 of the family's 1533-position model. The record is from RNAcentral.